UGUCCUAAAUGAUAAUGUCCUAAACAAUAGCCUGAGUUGUUUUUUAGAGAUUUGGAGUCAGUUGUGUCUAGUCUGAGCUAAACUGGUUAAGAUUGAAAUUAAACAUGCAGAAGCCUACAGAUUAGUUAUGCCUGUGCAGAACCAUGAUUACACACCUUUCCUAAUCACCUUUCCCCAUGGUCCCCACGUUCCCCACACUCCCUAUGUAUAUAAGCGUCAGAACGUCUUCCUUCUUUCUCUUUAUUCCAUAGAUAGCCCUUUACCUUUGGGAUGCCAGUUGGCAAAAGGAACCUGGUUCAGGAAUAUCGUCUCUGAACCAGUGAGUAAUGCUAAGAUUUACCAGCUUCAUUCUGUCAAAAAGUUGAGCCUGUCGUCAGCCUUCAGUGUUUUCCUAUAAAGCCCUGAGACUCGUGAUGGCCUCCAGAGUCCUUGUGGGAAAAGCAUCUGUCACAUCUGAUGGUCUUUCUGUCUACUCCAGUGAAGGCCCAGUUCAGCACUCAGUUCAAGACUGACUGCUAACCAGGUACUAACCAGCAGGCUUGAAUUGAAUUAGACUGUGAGAUGCUGUACACUGCGGGAAUUGAGUCAGGUGGACAGAUGUCUUUCUCAGCUCUGCUCAUCUUGUUCUUAUUGCAUCUUUGAUUACUGCAACAGGCGUUACUCUUGGGACAUUCUCCAAGGAGCCUUCAUUCUCCACAUCACAACUGGGUGCCGGGGCCCAGUGGGACUCUGAAUUCGGAUGAUCUUGGUUGAGGCAAUGUAAGACAUUUUCACUGUUUGCACUACAGCAUUCAUUAAAUUUUUGGCUGCUU
Bubalus bubalis (water buffalo) is the source of this 812-nucleotide long non-coding RNA. RefSeq lists it as uncharacterized. Lineage: Eukaryota; Metazoa; Chordata; Mammalia; Artiodactyla; Bovidae. The record is from RefSeq and is a predicted model, not a curated record. The transcript has 4 exons.